Molecule: long non-coding RNA, 418 nt
Organism: Talpa occidentalis (Iberian mole)
Lineage: Eukaryota; Metazoa; Chordata; Mammalia; Eulipotyphla; Talpidae
Exons: 3
Source: RefSeq, a predicted model, not a curated record
GGAACCAGGGUACAUGUUGUCAUUCCAUCUAUAACUGUUGUGUACUUAAAUGUGAUAUUUAAUGUUGGUUAGUUCUCUCUAUUGAGGAAACACAGUUCCAUUUUGAAACGCCUAACAACCACAGACGCUUUAUCAUCAGUGUCAAACACGUGGGAUCUGAAUCACGGCGUGAAAUCGAGCCUCUGCAGAAGGAAAGCUCGCCACCGAGCAGCCUGGCUGGUACGGCUCCGCCUUUGGCAUCAUUUUUCAGUGGCCAACGUGCCAAUUAGAUUUUUACCUCAGAGAACAUGUGACCUCCUAUCAAACAAAACUUUGUAAAAUGCAAGAGAGACCGACGCCGAGUCCAUGCAGAGCAUUUAUGGAGCAACUUUUACUAUCAGUUCAUGUGCAAAGCCACAUUAUAGAGACUGGAACCUAC